Long non-coding RNA from Haliaeetus leucocephalus (bald eagle), 1884 nucleotides. RefSeq lists it as uncharacterized. The record is from RefSeq and is a predicted model, not a curated record. The transcript has 4 exons. Lineage: Eukaryota; Metazoa; Chordata; Aves; Accipitriformes; Accipitridae.
CGCGGCGGCCGCAGCGCCCUGCCCCCUCACGGAGUCUCCAGCUGACGUUUCAAGGUAAACCAAGCGGGUAACAGCAAGUGGCAAUGCCAAGAAGACUAAAAAUUAGAGAGGAUACUCUCUGCUUUAUGGAUCUUGGAGAUAUCUCCGUUACACAAUGUUACACAACAUUGACCCACCAAAUACUGCAGAAUGGGAAGUAAGCCAUCUCUGAUCUGUUUCCCUCUGGAAAGUUUUGAAACUGCUCAGCAAUUUAGUCAAGUCUGCAGAGCCUCAGAGAUACUAAAUACCUCCAGUUUUUGUGGAAAUAGCCGCUCAGGUAAAGAGAAACCCUGGAGUAGGAUAAAGGGAUAACAAUGGAAUCCUGGCUGUGUUAAUUCUGCUGCUCACGGAACUGCUUGUUAAAAUAGGUUACAACAAGGUUGCUCCCACCCAUUUAAGAACAGAAAACCUCAGAUGUGCUUGUGGAAGGGUUGCUUGCACUUAGCAGCACUACUGGAAAUAGAAUGGUUAGAUAAAUGAUACAGAACUUUAUAAAGAUGAGAACCAUUAUUGAUGAAAAACUAAAAGCUGUGACAACUAUUUUGUCUCUGAAGCAAACCCGUUACUCCAGAAUGUCAUGGGUUUCGCAAAGAAGUUGGGAUCUUCAAGGUUAAUAGUCAAUGCAUGCACACUGUAAAGCAACAAAGUAGCAUGUACGCUUGAGGGAUCCUUUCAGGGAACAAAGGAUUCUCCCAGGUUGCUUCUUGAGAUGUUCCCACCUGCAUGCACAGACUCUGACUACGCUGUCUGCUGAGGGUGGCCCUGAGGUGCUUCUCCAGACUAGACUCACCUGUCUACCCAAGUGUGAAUCUGCUCAUGUGUGCCUGGUAUGUCAAUGUCCCUGUGGAAGUAACUGUGGCAGUAAUUUGUGCACCAUCCUUUCAAGCAGUAUGCAGGAUGAAAGAGACAGACUGAGCAUACCCCUCACUAGAUUGCUGUUGAGGUGUUUGUCUCCGCUGAUUUAGCCAGCACGCUUCUGCUCAUACCACUCACUCCAUCCAAAACCAGAUUUUAUUACUCUGUCCCAGGAUUAGGCUAGGGAUGAGGAGGCUCCAGUAGGAUACCCCUAAGAAUCUGUGCCAAGGCUACCCUUAAUUUAAGAUCUUAGUUAAAUAUCUGGCAGAGAAGAUACAGAGCGCAUUAGUGGCAUUUACAGAGUAUUAAGCUGGGAGAGAUUGAAAGCUGUAUUCAGGGUAGAAACAUAAACUACCUGAAAAUGAUAAACAUGAGCAGAAAUUAAUGGAAGCUCAGUUGGGAAGACUGUGAGUCCUUAUCUGAGGUGAUUUAAGUUCCUUGAACCCAUCUAUUAAAAUGAAGAAAUCUGAAAGUAAUAAUGCCAGGAGUCAAAGAAUAAAGGCAAAAAUGAAGUAGACAUCAAAUACUGCUGUAUGAAGAAGGCUGCAGAAAGGCUAGUGCAGUUGAGGAUUCAAAUUUUCAUUUCACCCUCAAAAAGAACUUUUCCUGCUGUAGAAGUAUGAGUCUGGCCACCAUUCCUGCCACCUUGUCUGCUGGUCUCCCCAGCUGUACCACCUAAAAUAGUGGAGACUGAAAUUCCAUGUAACAGGUCUCUGUCCAAUUGGUCACAUUCUCCUCUUUGCAAAGCAUGAGUUUAUUUCUUCAGACAAAACGUUUCCUUCAAUUAAUUCACUUUUAAGAUGAGAAAACAAGAGGCAGAAAGGUUAUGUGACUCGCAGUGCCUGUCAGUGGCAGCGCUCACCUUAGUACUCGAAAUAACACAGUGAUGCCACAACAUCAAUCAUACUGACUUGCCAGUGAUAUGGAGGCAGGAUUUGUUGAUACCAUGAAUUUUAGUGUUUGGCAUUAUUGGAUUUAUAAUGGUAAAAG